RNAcentral lists this ribosomal RNA (714 nucleotides) under uncultured bacterium. RNAcentral describes it as "bacterial SSU rRNA". It matches the Rfam family "Bacterial small subunit ribosomal RNA", at positions 777 to 1500 of the family's 1533-position model. The record is from RNAcentral.
AUUAGAUACCCUGGGUAGUCCACGCAGUAAACGAUGAAUGCUAAUUGUCCGUUGCGAAUGAGCGAUGGGUGAUACAGCGAAAGCGUUAAGCAUUCCACCUGGGGAGUACGCCGGCAACGGUGAAACUCAAAGGAAUUGACGGGGGCCCGCACAAGCGGAGGAACAUGUGGUUUAAUUCGAUGAUACGCGAGGAACCUUACCCGGGCUCAAACGCCGUCUGACGUAGGCUGAAAGGCUUAUUUCUUCGGACAGACGGCGAGGUGCUGCAUGGUUGUCGUCAGCUCGUGCCGUGAGGUGUCGGCUUAAGUGCCAUAACGAGCGCAACCCCUGUCGACAGUUGCUAACAGGUUAGGCUGAGGACUCUGUCGAGACUGCCGGCGCAAGCUGUGAGGAAGGCGGGGAUGACGUCAAAUCAGCACGGCCCUUACGUCCGGGGCGACACACGUGUUACAAUGGCAGGUACAGCGGGAAGCCACCCGGCGACGGGGCGCGGAACCCGAAAACCUGUCUCAGUUCGGAUUGGAGUCUGCAACCCGACUCCAUGAAGCUGGAUUCGCUAGUAAUCGCGCAUCAGCCACGGCGCGGUGAAUACGUUCCCGGGCCUUGUACACACCGCCCGUCAAGCCAUGGAAGCCGGGGGUACCUGAAGUACGUGACCGCAAGGAGCGUCCUAAGGUAAAACCGGUGACUGGGGCUAAGUCGUAACAAGGUAAC